Molecule: ribosomal RNA, 443 nt
Filed under: uncultured bacterium
Lineage: Bacteria
Description: partial 16S ribosomal RNA
Rfam family: Bacterial small subunit ribosomal RNA
Source: RNAcentral
CCUACGGGAGGCUGCAGUGGGGAAUAUUGGGCAAUGGGCGCAAGCCUGACCCAGCAACGCCGCGUGAAGGAAGAAGGCUUUCGGGUUGUAAACUUCUUUUCUCAGGGACGAAGCAAGUGACGGUACCUGAGGAAUAAGCCAAGGCUAACUACGUGCCAGCAGCCGCGGUAAUACGUAGGUGGCAAGCGUUAUACGGAUUUACUGGGUGUAAAGGGCGGGUAGGCGGGAAAGCAAGUCAGAUGUGAAAACCAUGGGCUCAACCUGUGGCCUGCAUUUGAAACUGUUUUUCUUGAGUACUGGAGAGGCAGACGGAAUGCCUAGUGUAGCGGUGAAAUGCGUAGAUAUUAGGAGGAACACCAGUGGCGAAGGCGGUCUGCUGGACAGCAACUGACGCUGAGGCGCGAAAGCGUGGGGAGCAAACAGGAUUAGAUACCCUUGUAGUG